RNAcentral lists this long non-coding RNA (608 nucleotides) under Phasianus colchicus (ring-necked pheasant). RNAcentral's name for it is "lncRNA (ENSPCLG00000009006.1)". Lineage: Eukaryota; Metazoa; Chordata; Aves; Galliformes; Phasianidae. The record is from RNAcentral.
AUUUUGCAUUGCUGGAUGCUCUUAAUCUUUUCAAAAGAAACAUCACUCCAUCAGGGCCCCGCGACCAGGCACCGAGGGGAAAGCAGUGGACUGUACUUGAUGCGUGGUUAUGAGAUGCAGCUUAAUAAUAUAAUUUCUCAGUUCAGAUAUCGAUCCUUGGGAGCAGUGCAGUGCUGGGAAUAGAGCGAAGCAGGGGGUGGAGAAAUCUCUGCUGCCUGUUUUCUCAUCUCACAACUCCCCGAAGAGACAGAGCCUUCCCCGUCCCGCGUAGCCAGGCAUGACAGAUCAAAACCACUGGAGACAUGCACCGUGCCUUUCAGGGAGUUAGAGCAAAACAUGGCAGAAGGAAUGGAAAGCAGCAAUUAAUCCGCAUGAAGCUGAACGGGAGGGUAGGUUCACCCUUACAGCACAGAAGAGCAUGUGUGAGGCAAGGAGCUGGAUGUGGGAGACAUCUUCCAGCUGCCUGGGACCCUUCACAUGUGGCACCAGGUGACAUUGGUCUGGUACUAGACCCAAGUGUGGUCAGUAUGGCUAACGAGUGCCUCUACAGCUCUAGGAGCAAAACUGGGAACUGAAGGAUGAGGGCUGAAGCAUGAAGUUAUCAUACA